ACUGUUCAGUGAUGAGGUCAUGGAAUAAGCACUGGGCACAGUGCCUGAUCUCCAGUGAGGAAUAAUUCCAUGCUGCCUUCCUUCUGAGAACUCU
This is a small nucleolar RNA of Pseudophryne corroboree (corroboree frog), 94 nucleotides long. RefSeq annotates it as small nucleolar RNA U83B. The record is from RefSeq and is a predicted model, not a curated record. The transcript has a single exon. NCBI's taxonomy places the organism in Eukaryota, Metazoa, Chordata, Amphibia, Anura, Myobatrachidae.